This 84-nucleotide transfer RNA is filed under the name Candidatus Stahliibacteriota bacterium. RNAcentral's name for it is "tRNA-Leu". It matches the Rfam family "tRNA". Rfam says of the family: Transfer RNA (tRNA) molecules are approximately 80 nucleotides in length. Their secondary structure includes four short double-helical elements and three loops (D, anti-codon, and T loops). Further hydrogen bonds mediate the characteristic L-shaped molecular structure. tRNAs have two regions of fundamental functional importance: the anti-codon, which is responsible for specific mRNA codon recognition, and the 3' end, to which the tRNAs corresponding amino acid is attached (by aminoacyl-tRNA synthetases). tRNAs cope with the degeneracy of the genetic code in two manners: having more than one tRNA (with a specific anti-codon) for a particular amino acid; and 'wobble' base-pairing, i.e. permitting non-standard base-pairing at the 3rd anti-codon position. The record is from RNAcentral. Lineage: Bacteria; Candidatus Stahliibacteriota.
GCCGCGGUGGCGGAAUUGGCUUACGCGUACGACUCAAAAUCGUAUGGACUUUGGUCCGUGUGGGUUCGAAUCCCCCCCCGGGCA